Molecule: unclassified non-coding RNA, 200 nt
Filed under: Mycosphaerellaceae sp.
Lineage: Eukaryota; Fungi; Ascomycota; Dothideomycetes; Mycosphaerellales; Mycosphaerellaceae
Description: partial internal transcribed spacer 2
Source: RNAcentral
UUAAGUUCAGCGGGUAUCCCUACCUGAUCCGAGGUCAAACUUUGAGGUAAGAGUCACCCGGCAAGCUCCGCCAGAGCUCCAGAAGCGAAAUUUCCACUACGCUCGGAGCUGGACGGUGCCGCCAACCAGUUGCGGGAGGUCCUAGGACCGCACCCAAGACAAGCAGUGCUUGAUUGUUUAAAUGACGCUCGAACAGGCAU